GAUAAGAUUUGUUCUAAUGCUUUUCUCUUUGGCAGCUUUAUUUCAAGUCGAAGGAUGUUUACAACGAACAUUGGCAAAACGCUUGGAUCAUCCCGGCCUUCUGGCAACUUCUCUCCUUUUCUCUCCUAAUUGUUAUCUGUUCUCUCUGGGCUCCAUCUCAAAAUUCGACCAGGUACGCCUUCUCUGGAUCUUCUGGAGAUACAAGCGCGGAGUUUGAGAAGGACGAUUACACGCUAACCCUCAUUAAACCAUCUCCCAUUCCUUCUCACGAAGUCAAGAACCUCGCAGAAACCAGACCUUUAGAAGCUGACGAAGGAGAAGCAGAAAAAGAUUUGGAGGAAGAUAAGAGGGAUUAAAAUAGUAAAGACAAUAGCCACAACCAUCUAUUUGACACUUCUUUCUCUUUAUCAAACACCUCAAUUUUACUACAUGUAUUCUUUUAGGUGACUUGAGUUUAGUUUGUACAAUACAAAGGGCAAGAGACCAAAUCAGCCUUAGUCUUCGGUGUUGUAGUGUUAGUUUGUGUGCCCUGUUUUUGUCACAAUGUAAUGUUUCCUAUGUUGCUUUAUACAUUAAAGUUAGUCUAUGACAAGGGUGGAGAUAUCUCUUUCUUA
This is a non-coding RNA of Camelina sativa (false flax), 614 nucleotides long. Lineage: Eukaryota; Viridiplantae; Streptophyta; Magnoliopsida; Brassicales; Brassicaceae. The record is from RefSeq and is a predicted model, not a curated record.